CCUCUACUCCCUCCAUUCUGAAUUACUUGUCGCACGUAUGGAUGUAUCUAGAUGUAUUUUAGUUCUAGAUACAUCCAUUUCAGCGACGAGUAAUUUGGGACGGAGGGAAUAGUUG
Triticum aestivum (bread wheat) is the source of this 115-nucleotide non-coding RNA. The record is from Rfam. Lineage: Eukaryota; Viridiplantae; Streptophyta; Magnoliopsida; Poales; Poaceae.